CAAAAUCUGUUACAGCAAAUUCACACACCUUCUCUUCUCUUGGCGUCUAUUUAUUCUUCGAGUUACUUGAAUCCUAAACCCAGUUAUAGAAUUCCUAUAAACAAGUAAUGUGCGAUGAAAAGUGAACUCAAGUUUUCAGAGUCACCUCAAUAGUCAGGAACAAAAAGUGUGUUUGUGUUGGAUCGAAAAGCUUAUAAAACGCACAUGUCGCGUUCUCGAACAUAAAUCACAGUGAAAUAAUUUAGCCACAAAAAGCCAAAAGCCAUAAUUCAAAGUCGCUGCCACGGCUGACGUGUAUUGUAUAACCCUGUAAUAUUUGCAUUGUGUUGGCCCAUUCUGUGGCCGCGUGGACUUCAGGCAGCGGUAAUGUGUCCGCGGCAAAUCUCUCCCCAAGGAGCGACGAAAUAAAUGCUCAUUAUUGAGUCCCACAAGAACUCCCAGGCACAGAGAAUUGGAAAAAGCAAAGCGAUUUAUUAGCACGGCCCACUGGCACGUUCGCUGGGCAAACACGGCUUCAUCAGGGGCCGCUCCGUCCUUUCAGCGUCCUAAUUUGUCCCACGUGGAUUAUCAUCCGCCCCGCGGCGGCUGCUGUGGCUCCAAAAUGACAGAUGUCGAGAGCUCGCUCGCAGAUUUCUGCCUGUGUGUCUCACAGACACGCGCUUGUGCCGCUUGCCUGCGGACGUGUGGUUACUAAUACGGCCAGUGUUGCCAGUUAUACGACAAUUGUCGUAUUUAUGCGACAGUUUUGGGUUCUGCACGAUCUUUGGACACUGCCGUUCAUCAUAUUUUAAUGUCGUUUUAGUUGACGCGCGCGUCACCAGAAACUGUUUUGACCUCACCUGGUUGGCUCCUCCCCUCUGUCAAUCACAGCAGCAGCGCUGCUGAUUGGUUCAAUUAGCUGCUCGCGUUGGUUUGCACAGUUGCACCGUUCGUCCAGCAUCGCGACCAAAGCGAAAAAGGUGCAAAACGUGAGGUCAGAACCGAAACUACUAAAGGAAAACACUCUGUACGAGUUGGCUUUUUUUUAGACCCGGGAGGUGGUACCACACAGCAACGCAGCGCCGCUGAAACAAGGCCAUUCAUUACAGCCAUUCUAUCUGUGGCACUAGAACCUGCAGCCAUGGUCCAACCGCUGUAUGACAGUCUGACGCCACCUGCCUCGCCGUGUGACGUCACAGCCGCUGCCUAUGAGCACGCCUCCAUCAGGUGCAGGAGCCUCGUCCGGAGUCGCACGCUGUGCGUUGAGGAGAAGGAACAACAUGCAGCAACAACCGCCAUUCGUGUGUCACUGCAGAUGAGUCGCUGCUGGGGUUCUUCAGCGAAUCGUUCCCCCCGAUAGCGGGUGGGGGUUCAAAUCCGUAGCGUAUUCUUAUUUUUGCUGUUUCUUCACCUCGACCGUUUUCACAACCCUUUAACAAAUGGCUGCCUUUGCUGUGAGCCUGGAGACAGAUUCAGAGCAGCCUGCUGCAGCGAGGCUGGAUAACAUCAGCCUCCUAUAAACAAAACAAAACAAAACAAAACAGGUAGAUAGGCACCAGGCAACAAACAAGCUGCUCUCAGAUUAUCUACUGCUGCACCAGACCAAAAUCAUAAUGCUCUUGUCUCUAGCUAUCUUUAUAGCUUCAUGCUCUUUAAGUAAGUGAGUCUGAGAGUCUCAGGCAUUUCCUCUGUACCGGGGAAUUAUCACAACAAAGCUGUGGGUCGGGUUGGACACACUGAGGAA
RNAcentral lists this long non-coding RNA (1723 nucleotides) under Betta splendens (Siamese fighting fish). RNAcentral's name for it is "lncRNA (ENSBSLG00000009398.1)". Lineage: Eukaryota; Metazoa; Chordata; Actinopteri; Anabantiformes; Osphronemidae. The record is from RNAcentral.